This 87-nucleotide transfer RNA is filed under the name Caudoviricetes sp. RNAcentral's name for it is "tRNA-Leu". It matches the Rfam family "tRNA". From Rfam's summary of the family: Transfer RNA (tRNA) molecules are approximately 80 nucleotides in length. Their secondary structure includes four short double-helical elements and three loops (D, anti-codon, and T loops). Lineage: Duplodnaviria; Heunggongvirae; Uroviricota; Caudoviricetes. The record is from RNAcentral.
GCGGGUAUGGCGGAAUUGGCAGACGCAAUAGACUCAGAAUUUAUUGGUAGCGAUACUGUGCAGGUUCAAGUCCUGUUACCCGUACCA